CUCUUAGCCUCAUUUUUUCCUUAAGUUUAGUCUAUGCUCUUAGCCUCACACAAUAUUAUUUAUACUUAUGGAUUUCCUUAAAUCAUUUUAAUCUCUCAAAAUAAUCUAAGAGCUCUAGGCAGGUAGCUCAGUUGGUUGGAGUGUCAUUCCAUACACUAAAAGGUGGCAGGUUUGAUUCCUGGUCAGGGCACAUACCUAAGGUUGCAAGUUUCAUCCCCGGUCUGGGCGUGUACAGCAGGCAACUGAUCUAUGUUUCUCACAUCAAUGUCUUUCUCUCUCUCUCUCUCUCUCUCUCUCU
Pipistrellus kuhlii (Kuhl's pipistrelle) is the source of this 298-nucleotide long non-coding RNA. RefSeq lists it as uncharacterized. Lineage: Eukaryota; Metazoa; Chordata; Mammalia; Chiroptera; Vespertilionidae. The record is from RefSeq and is a predicted model, not a curated record. The transcript has 2 exons.